This is a non-coding RNA of Phoenix dactylifera (date palm), 2520 nucleotides long. The record is from RefSeq and is a predicted model, not a curated record. NCBI's taxonomy places the organism in Eukaryota, Viridiplantae, Streptophyta, Magnoliopsida, Arecales, Arecaceae.
GGUUAGAUUUGGGGAUCUUGGGGACCAAGGUUGUUGUCAAUAGUAGAUUUGGGGCUCAGUGUGGUAGGGGAGGUUGGAGUUGUCGGGCGAGGCUCAUUGGACCUUAGAGCUUGGCCAGGCCGAGAAGGGGGGAGAGAGAUGAGCAGAUUAAGACUCGCACUACCACAUCGAUAAGAGGCCUUAGGCUUUUCCUUCUGCCGCUACACCAUGGAGGCUGAGCGGGUUAGGGAUUAAGGGGAUUAGGGCAUGCUCCUUUUUUUUCUUUUUUUUUUUUGAGAGGAAGUAGGCAUGCAUCAUUGAAUUAGUAGGAUAGGAUGCAUGAAUUGUCAGGGCAUGGGUUAUGGGUUGAGUUAAUCAUAAAACGGAUGAGCUAAGUAUAGGGGUUAAUUUGUUUGAGGGGCUUAAUCAUUAGUGUUAGUGGGUUUUAGUUGCUCUAGGUUAUAGGAUAAGCAUUAAGGGGUCCAAUCCUCUGGUUGGGCUGAGUUUUGUGUCCCGAAUCAGGCUCGGGCUUCCGGACCGGCCUAGCAUUGAGCUGAGCCUGGCUCAAAAUUUAUUCUUGCCAUGUUUUGAGUCCCAAAGCUGACUCAAAUGUCUUGGGCUGGGCUCAAAGUUUACCAGAAGCGGAGGCCUACCAACUAAGCACUCACUUUCUAAAACAAUUAUAGUUUACCUUAGAUAGUUCAAUUGGAAAUGCUAUUCUAAUAGGAGAUUUGAUAAAUAGAGUGUAAAGUCUUUAUUUAGUUAUGUUACUUCUUCCUUUGAUAUUCUUCUUUCUCAUCAUAAAUUUUGGUUUCUCUAUUUAAUCAAUUAACUUAAAAUGAAUUUGAUUGUAUUAGAGGAACCAAUGAAGACCAGCAUCAAAGAUAUUUAGAAGGUUUUCUUUUAUGCAAAGCUAAUUAUUUCUUUGCACUUCAAUGACAUAACUUAUAUUAAUAACUGGCUGUAAUAGUUAUGAUUAGUUUGUAAGGUAAACUGUUACAUGUUUCCUGUCUUUUUCACAGUACUUUAAAUUAAUCUCAUUAUGCUUGUGCUUUUGUAUUAUUUCAAUUUGUGUUAUACGACAGUUGGAUUUAUGUCGUAGAUGCCAUGAUUUGAGCUAUUACGCAUCUUUUGCCUGGCUUUCUUGGGCUUCAUUCACACAAGAAAUGCUAAUUGGCGUUUAUGAAGGUGCAAGAAGACAAGACAAUUCAUGGUUAUUUAAGAGAAUGGAGUAGUGGAUGGUCAUGAAAAAGCCGUUGAAGUUGAAGCUGAUGACUCUACAGUUGGUGCAAUCCUUGUUAAUGGAAAUGAGGGUGAGGAAGAGUGGUGUAUGAAAAAUGAAGGAACCCAUCAGCCUAACAGCCAUCUGGUUACUUGUUUUCCCCCAUUCACCACCCCCCUCCCCUCCUCUCCCCUUCUAAAAAACUCCUACGUGUUUAGGAUUACUAAUUGUAUAAGUGCAACUUGUUAGUGAGUAGCAUGUCUAUGCCCUCUUUACAGAAAAUGAAACAAGGCCAUCCUUUCAACCCAUUCCUAGGAAAGAAUUUUGGAGGCUGUUUGUAGCAUGGAGUACACCAGCCACUAGUUUGCUCAUGAAUAUCAGUAGCUGUGGAAAAUGUGCUAUGGUGUAGAAUUCUUAUCAAGAUUCAUCGUACCAGUGUGUACCAUCCUAUACUAGGCAUAUUGAUUAUGUUCAUCACAUCAAAAGAAUUUUGCAAUUUUGAUAUGAUAAUAUUAUUUUCCACACUAGAUUCUGUACAUAACCAUAGUUUCAAGGUUCUCUCUCGCCAUUUCAAUAUUUGUAAUUUGAUUUUUGACAGUUUGAUGCAGUUACAACUUUUUCUCUAUUUACUCGUCUUUCCCUGCUAUUUAAGUUUUGCAACUCAUAAGCCUUUGGUAUACAUUUUCUAUAUUGUUUUCCAUAUUCGUGUAUGCUCACCCACCUUCUCUAACGCUGUUGUUCAUUGAUCUUGCAGUGCUAACUCCACAUCAAUAGGGAGUAGGGACCUAACAGAACAAGUUUCAGAGAUCUAUCUCCUCUUCUUAAGGUGACGAGUUAUCCUCAUGGGGAAGAUAAAAUGAGAUCCAUUAUUUACUUUUUUGCUGAGAUAGUGAUCCCAUUAUCUUUUUUUGGUGCCUGAUUGAGUAUCCUAUGCCUUAUAGCUUUAGAAUAUUAAGAGUCCUCAUCCAACACAAAUACUCCAGGAUAUGAAUAUAUCUGGGCUGGCAUAUUCUCGGUUGAUUUCAUCUGUUUAAAAAGAAAUAUAAAGCAGGGCCACAGGACUCGCGUUGAGUUGGUGGGACAUCGAAGGCUCUUGUCCUUAAUAGUUGUUUGUUAUCACAAGGUUAACUUGCUUGCCUUUCCUUUGUAGUGGUAACCGCUAAGCUUCAUCAAGCACCAAAAUGAGACAACUGUCAUGAUCCUUUUGCCCCCCUGCUGAAAGGUCUGCCUUAUUUUUCUGAAAAAAUAAAUAAACCUGAACAGAUUUAUAGAUGUUGCAAAACUUUGGCAUAAUGGAAUUCCGUGUACGUUUAAUCAUA